UCUGCAACCCGACUCCACGAAGCUGGAUUCGCUAGUAAUCGCGCAUCAGCCACGGCGCGGUGAAUACGUUCCCGGGCCUUGUACACACCGCCCGUCAAGCCAUGGGAGCCGGGGUACCUGAAGUGCGUAACCGCGAGGAUCGCCCUAGGGUAAAACUGGUGACUGGGGCUAAGUCGUAACAAGGUAGC
This 188-nucleotide ribosomal RNA is filed under the name uncultured bacterium. Its description in RNAcentral is "partial 16S ribosomal RNA". It matches the Rfam family "Bacterial small subunit ribosomal RNA", at positions 1304 to 1500 of the family's 1533-position model. The record is from RNAcentral.